UGUUAAAUUGCAGCCGCGUUCAGUUGCUUCUAAUUUUAAAUUGCAGCCGCUUUCGGCUGCCUAUACUUAAUUGCCGGCACAUCAGCUGCCUAUAUUGGUUUAUUGCAGCCUAUAUUUUAUUACACAGCAGCCGUGUUCGGGCUUGCUUUUUAUUCAUUGUACAGCUGUGUUCAGCUGCCUAUAUUUUAUUACACAGCAGCCGUGUUUGGGCUUGCUUUAUCAUUCAUUGGGCAGCCGUGUUCGGCUUGCUUCAUUAAGUGUUGCAACCUUGCUGGUUUGUACUUCUUCUGUAGCUACGGUGAUCGUAGUGCUCCUUGCAGCCUUUUACGCUGCUGAGGAACCCCUGGUGGCGUUUUCUGCUCAACCGGGUUUUCUGGCCUAUUCGUUCGUCGGCUUAAGUGUCAAGGGUGACGAUUUCAGCUCGACCUGACCUUGUCCUGUGAGCAUAAGAUGCUGGACAAGCCCUAGUGCAGAGCGUGUAUGGCCCCUCUCCAGUCGAAGGAUGGGUAUUAUCUGUGUCCUUCUUGUCUGGAACCAGAUCACCAUAGAGAAGCCUUGACUGACGAUACGAUGCUAUAUCCCUAGUAUCUGAUACUGAUUUUCAACAUCAAUUGACUCUGGCUCACAUCUGUCAGCAGCCAGUUCACGUAUCUCUUCCGGCUCUCAGUCGGAAGAGGACGGUUUGAUAGUGGGCGCUUUGAGAACUGCUCUUGCCCGGUUGUAGCUGGAUGCUCAACCGAACCGAUCUGCGGCUUCUGGUGCUUUCUUUCGACGUCCUAUUACUAGGUCGUCCUUUGUUUCCCCAUUGCUGAAUAUGAGAAGUUGGUUCGUGCCUGUUGGGCGGACACCAAGGCCUCUUCGCUGCUGACCUCUGAUGGCAGGGCCCUGGCGGCCAUGCAAGACGUGCCCAAGUUUGGCUUGGGCCAUAUGCCUUCCUUCGAACAUGCCAGUGCAUCCCUCAUUGUGAUGCCGGAGCAGGCUUUGAGAUCUAAUGCCUGUAGUCCUCGUCCUCAGUGCCAUGUGACUGCUGAUCUACUCUGUAGAGUCUGACUUGGUAACUCAUUGUCGCAUUUGUUACUGGUCUCUCAGCCUCUCUGGAGGCUCCGUGAUUGAGACACCCUUACAUGCUUUUUCUCUUUUGUCAAUGUAAGUUGGCCGUGUCCUGUCUACCGUUGUUGAAGCACGCCGCAAAGUUGGUUGGCUCAGUCUCCUCUAACCGAAGCCUGUAGAGGGACCCUGAUGAGUCUUCCAGUGAUUCCUGGGGAGUUAUUUGGCUCUGCUGCGCUUGCAGCCUUGGAGCGAUCAACCCAGGCUUUGUGUACAAGGCAGCAGCUGGCAAGCCUGCAUCGCAGGCGAUUGUGGCGUCCUGCUGGGAGUGCCUCUGCGUCACUUUAACGCACUUAUCCUGCCCCAACUACACCCUCUGUGGGGCAACCACGGCCUGCUUAUGGCCAGUGCAUCACCGAGCUGGCGGUGGGACACUUUACCCAGGACUAGCUCAGCUGCUGGACCGCUCUCGUUUCUGAUCCAUUGGUGGUGUCUACACUUGCCCAGGGUUACGCGCUACAGUUGCGCCACCGCCCUCCUGUUCCUGGUCGAGUCAGGAUGACGGGAAUUCGCUACCAGGUAAAGGCUCAGACUCUGAGCCACGAGAUGGGUGCCUUGCUGGCCAAGGGUGGUAUGUUGCCUGUUGACCCCCUGCAGGACCCAGGGAGCUUUUAUUUAUACUUAAGUAUUUUUAUUGGUCCCAAAAAAGGCUGGUGGACUCUGCCCAAUUUUGGACCUGAGAGGUCUGAAUGUUCUUUCAAGACCAUCCCUUUCCACAUGUUGGGCAUCAGGGGUGUGCUUCAGACAAUCUUCUCCAGGCAAGUGGUUCACCCUGGUUGACCUGAGGGAUGCAUACUUCAGGUCCCAAUCGCACCAUGUCAUUGGCAGUUUUCUCCGCUUUGCAUUUCAGGGCAAGCCUUUGUCCGGGGUUCUCCCAUUCGGUCUUUCUGUCCGCACGUAUGCUUGGUGCGUGGCUGCGACACUGUGUCCUCUGCAGGCCAAGGGGUUAAAGAUCCUGCCCUACUUGGACGAUUGGCUCAUCUGUGCGCCCACAGAAGCUCAAGCUACUGCAGGCACGAGCACAUUACUUGACCAUAUAGACCUAUUGGGUCUACGUGUGAACUGGCAGGAGAGUAACUUAGUUCCAUCUCAAGAGGUCACAUUCUUAGAAUCACAAUGGACUCCCUCACUGUGACUGUUCGCCCAUCGCCUCAGCCUGUCGAGGGCAUUCUGCAUAUGCUGCCCGACUUUCUGCCUGGCCGUGCACCCCUUUUUAUUGCUUAUCUUCAUCUGUUGGGCAAGCUGGCUACUGCCGCUACAGUAAUACCCCUGGGACUGUUGUCUCUGCGACCACUGCGGAUGUGGUUCACAGCCUGUGGCUGGACCCUUCUUGUACGCUGCGCCAUCGCACACUGGGUGUCCUCUCACUGCCUCGCAUCAGUGGCGAAAUGCAGUAUUAAUGACAAAGGGGUUCCACUUGGUUGGCCGCCGUCUCGACAAGAGGUUGUCUCUACCAGCGCGUACGCCACGGUAUGGGGCGUGGCAGCGACGGAUCGCCUGGGGACAUGGUCUCUCCGGAGAAAAACUGCAGCACAUCAACACCUUGGAGUCAGUCUGUGCAGCGGGCGUUGCAACACUUCCUCCCAGACCGGUGCGGACGGCAUGUCUUGGUGCGAACGGCAUGUCUUGGUGUAGUCGGACAAUACUUAAGUGGUUUUUCAUCAACCAUAAAGGUGGGACACAGUCGUUAACAUUGCUGUGGCUGACCCAGAAGCUCUUGACCUGGGCAGCCCCUCUUCUCGCCAGCCUGAGAGCUGCCUACAUUCCAGGGGUGCAGAUGUUUCGGCAGAUAUUCUGUCUCGGGGACGCCCACCACCGGGGGAGUGGAGACUCCACCCGGAGGUAGUGGGGUCAUUUCGGAGAUGUACGGCAAAGCAGCUGUAGAUCUACUUGCGUCCGAAGAGACGACAUAUUGCCCACUUUAGUUCUCCCUGGCAGACAAUGCCAGUCCCCUGGGUCAAGACGCACUGGCACAUGACUGGCUGUGAGUGCUGCUCUGAACUUUUCCGCCGUUUCCCAUGAUAGGCCCAACACCCCUAAGGGUCCUUCAGGAGGGGCAUCGGGUCCUUCUAGUGGCCCCCUGGUGGCCAGGGAGAAUCUGGUUUCCUUUGCUGCACAGGCUCUUUUGCAGCUCUCCAAUGCCUCUUCCCCACAGGAAGGACCUUCUGUCACAGCUGGGGGGUCAGAUCCUGCAUCCCAAUACCAGUUGCCUCCAGGCCGUAACAAGGAUGUUUUGUGUGUCUGAGAGGUGCCCGAUGUUUGCACCCUCCCACAUGCCCUGUUGUGCCUGUGUGAGACCUCUGUCUCUCGUCCUCACUGCCCUACGAUCUCCUCCGUUUGAACUGUUGGCAGAGGCAAGCCUUAAGUGUGUGUCAAAAAACUUUCUCCUUGGCUUCGGCGAAGCGGGUCAGGAAGCUACGUGUGUUGUCUAUUCACAAGCCCUGUUGCCAUGGGAAUCCAGCUGGUGUUAUUCUCUGGCCUGAUGUUGGGUUUCUUCCUAUUGUGGCCUCAUUUGCGGGCCACACUGUGCCCCUCCAGCUUGCUUCCCUUUAUACGAAUGGGCCUGAGCCUUUCUGCCCUGUUCAGGCACUGAAGGCAUAUGUCAGACUCACAGCUUCUCUGCGGCAGUCUGAUAAUCUGUUUGUUUGCUACUCAGGGCCCUGUGAAGGGCAGGCUCCUUGUAAACAGCGUAUUGCACGUUGGAUUGUGGACGUGGUGGAACAAGCGUACGUUCUACAGGUCCACCAACCCCCUGCUGGUGUACGGUGCCAUUCCACCAGAAGCAUUAGUGUGUCAUGGCCACUAUGGCAGGGGUCACUCUGGAGGCUAUAUGUGCAGCAGCCUCGUGGUCAUCCCUGAAUACCUUUGCUAGGUUUUAUAGGGUUAACUUGGCCGACUUUCACCCUUUGGUGGGGAUCCUAUCCCGGCACGCAUCGUCAUACCAGUGAGGUGGGCGUGUUUUCGGGGUUGUUUUCUUCUGUGUGAUUCCUCAGAACUCUGUUGGUUAUCGUCAUCCAGUGCUUUAAGCACAGCCUCUGGCGGUCAGUAGGGAUGAAAUAGAACAAAAGUUACUACUGUAACUACGGUUCUAUGAAACCCGGAUGACCGCCAGAGCGCUCGGUCCCUCGGAAUCAUCGUGUUGUUUGCGAGAAGAUUAAGGGACUGAGCUGUGUUUGUCACGUGAUUAUAUGGUCUUACCGGUGUCACCGGGGGUCACACGUUACCAUCAUGGUAUAAAAUUCUCGACCUGUGCAUGCGCAAGAGUGAUCAUUCAGUGCUUUAAGCACCGCCUCUGGCGGUCAUCCGGGAUUCAUAGAACCGUAGUUACAGUCGUAACUUUCGUUUCCCAAGUAUUUAAAGAGUGACGCGCUAAGGAAUUUUUUUUUUAACACUUGGAGGCAGUAAAUGGUCCUUUGGAUGUACGAGUACGGGUUGUGUCCGUUACCGUUAGAAACUACGUAUAUCUGGGCCGUGACAGCAAAAUAUAAAUAUUACUGAGCUACCUUUGUGUAUUUAGGCCUAGUUUAAGGAGAACCCUCUGGAGUGGUACUCUCCUUUUACAAGCCUGAUUUCACCUGUGUUGUCUUCAUAUUUGUCAUUGAAUGCUGUGCUGGACUGAGCCUCUAUGGACUUUGGGGUGAUGGAAGAUGCUGAAGAGAUCUGCAGACACAGAGGGCCAUCAUCUGAGCUGCUGACUUCAUACAAUGCGAGGAAAUGAAUUACGUGGGAAUCAGGAAGGCAGAACUCCCGUUGGAGAUCCAGGACUUCAGUGCUGGUGAAGAGCUUCCUAGGGACACCUGAAGAUAGGAUAGAGAGGCCAGAUGCAAAGCAUGUGCAGGACCCUGCAGAAUUCUGGCAUCUUUCUACACCACCAAUCAGAAGCAGGAAGAGAAAACGAUGAUCUCCAGGAAGAAACUCCUUUCAUACGACUCCAGCAGAGGACCUGCUCCACCUCCUGAUCUACUGAUGAUGAUACUUUGGAGGAAAAGGCUGAGACAAUCGCCCUGGGACGAUGAAGAAAGAGAAGACCCAGAGGACAGAUUCAAGGAUCUAAUGAUGACCAGCUUCCUGUCAGGACGGACAGAUAAGACGGAUUGAAUCUCAUCAGUCUGUGAACUUCCACCCAAUCACCACCAGUCAGGAAGAGGAAGAGUGGACAGAAAAAAGCAAGAAAUCUUUUCUCCACGACAUGAUGAGCAGAACAUUAGAAAUGGUAUAGACCACAUGCCGUCCUGGAACCCGAUCCUAGAAGAACCAUCCUUUUGUUCUGUUGGAUCAAUAAACCGUUUAAACGAUCUUCUGUUGUCUGAAGUUGUUGCCUGUACAAGGGUCCCAUAAACAAUCACCAUGAC
This is a long non-coding RNA of Fundulus heteroclitus (mummichog), 5459 nucleotides long. RefSeq lists it as uncharacterized. The transcript is spliced from 7 exons. The record is from RefSeq and is a predicted model, not a curated record. NCBI's taxonomy places the organism in Eukaryota, Metazoa, Chordata, Actinopteri, Cyprinodontiformes, Fundulidae.